GUGUCAGCCGCCGCGGUAAUACGGAGGGUGCGAGCGUUGUCCGGAAUCACUGGGCGUAAAGGGCGCGUAGGUGGCCGAGCAAGGUCGCGGUGAAAGCCCGGGGCUCAACCCCGGGUCGGCCGUGGCAACUACUGGGCUGGAGCACUGUAGGGGCGGGUGGAAUUCCGGGUGUAGCGGUGGAAUGCGUAGAGAUCCGGAAGAACACCGGUGGCGAAGGCGGCCCGCUGGGCAGUUGCUGACACUGAGGCGCGACAGCGUGGGGAGCAAACAGGAUUAGAAACCCCUGUAGUCC
This 292-nucleotide ribosomal RNA is filed under the name uncultured bacterium. RNAcentral's name for it is "partial 16S ribosomal RNA". It matches the Rfam family "Bacterial small subunit ribosomal RNA", at positions 505 to 796 of the family's 1533-position model. The record is from RNAcentral.